GAUGAACGCUGGCGGCGUGCCUAAUACAUGCAAGUCGAGCGAACGGACGAGAAGCUUGCUUCUCUGAUGUUAGCGGUGGACGGGUGAGUAACACGUGGAUAACCUACCUAUAAGACUGGGAUAACUUCGGGAAACCGGAGCUAAUACUGGAUAAUAUUUUGAACCGCAUGGUUCAAAAGUGAAAGACGGUCUUGCUGUCACUUAUAGAUGGAUCCGCGCUGCAUUAGCUAGUUGGUAAGGUAACGGCUUACCAAGGCAACGAUGCAUAGCCGACCUGAGAGGGUGAUCGGCCACACUGGAACUGAGACACGGUCCAGACUCCUACGGGAGGCAGCAGUAGGGAAUCUUCCGCAAUGGGCGAAAGCCUGACGGAGCAACGCCGCGUGAGUGAUGAAGGUCUUCGGAUCGUAAAACUCUGUUAUGAGGGAAGAACAUAUGUGUAAGUAACUGUGCACAUCUUGACGGUACCUAAUCAGAAAGCCACGGCUAACUACGUG
This 497-nucleotide ribosomal RNA is filed under the name uncultured bacterium. Its description in RNAcentral is "partial 16S ribosomal RNA". It matches the Rfam family "Bacterial small subunit ribosomal RNA", at positions 28 to 507 of the family's 1533-position model. The record is from RNAcentral.